AGUGAACGCUGGCGGUAGGCCUAACACAUGCAAGUCGAACGGCAGCACAGGAGAGCUUGCUCUCUGGGUGGCGAGUGGCGGACGGGUGAGGAAUACAUCGGAAUCUACUCUGUCGUGGGGGAUAACGUAGGGAAACUUACGCUAAUACCGCAUACGACCUACGGGUGAAAGCAGGGGACCUUCGGACCUUGCGCGAUUGAAUGAGCCGAUGUCGGAUUAGCUAGUUGGCGGGGUAAAGGCCCACCAAGGCGACGAUCCGUAGCUGGUCUGAGAGGAUGAUCAGCCACACUGGAACUGAGACACGGUCCAGACUCCUACGGGAGGCAGCAGUGGGGAAUAUUGGACAAUGGGCGCAAGCCUGAUCCAGCCAUACCGCGUGGGUGAAGAAGGCCUUCGGGUUGUAAAGCCCUUUUGUUGGGAAAGAAAUCCAGCUGGCUAAUACCCGGUUGGGAUAACGGUACCCAAAGAAUAAGCACCGGCUAACUUCGUGCCAGCAGCCGCCGUAA
Molecule: ribosomal RNA, 506 nt
Filed under: uncultured bacterium
Lineage: Bacteria
Description: partial 16S ribosomal RNA
Rfam family: Bacterial small subunit ribosomal RNA
Source: RNAcentral